GGUGUUGAAAGUUAUAUUAAAAACCACCCCCACUUCCUUACAGUACAAACAAACAAAAAUACACCCUAAAGAUAUGAAGCCUGUUAAAACGAGCCGAUGAGCUUUCCAGGAGGAGCCAGGGAGAGGUGAAGCCACAAGGAGGCUGAGGGCCCAUGGGAAGAGUUUCAAGAACAGGCUCUCUUCUCCAGAACCAUGCCAGAGAUGACAGAGAAUGAGACACCUACUAAGAAGCAACAUCGGUGAGUUUCUGGGGGAAAAUGACUGUUU
Molecule: long non-coding RNA, 267 nt
Filed under: Manacus vitellinus (golden-collared manakin)
Lineage: Eukaryota; Metazoa; Chordata; Aves; Passeriformes; Pipridae
Description: lncRNA (ENSMVIG00005012048.1)
Source: RNAcentral